CGGGACGUCGCUCAACGGCAGAGCACCCGCCUGAUAAGCGGGAGAUGGUGGUUCGACACCACCCGUCCCGA
RNAcentral lists this transfer RNA (71 nucleotides) under Archangium sp. RNAcentral's name for it is "tRNA-Ile". It matches the Rfam family "tRNA". From Rfam's summary of the family: Transfer RNA (tRNA) molecules are approximately 80 nucleotides in length. Their secondary structure includes four short double-helical elements and three loops (D, anti-codon, and T loops). The record is from RNAcentral. Lineage: Bacteria; Pseudomonadati; Myxococcota; Myxococcia; Myxococcales; Archangiaceae.